UAGUCAACAAAAUCGUGUCCGCGUCGGAAGUGACGGAUUGGGAGUACUGGGACGACCUUGCGCUCGAGUCUUGGAAGGACCCAGGAAAGAGCAAGCAAAGCAUAAGCCGAAAGCUUUUUCAAAGGGUAUCUAACCCUUCUUAGAUUCUCUGCGAAACCAGGAAGAAUUGAAGAUGCACAGGUCUUCAAGCGCUUCCCGAGUUUCCUCCAUAGAGUUCUUCUCGUCGACUUCGCUGCAAUCUUCCUCUGACACCGCCGACCAACAACUACCAACGUACGAUCCCCUCUCCCAGGCGGCCAAGAAAGAACGGUCCCGUCUCAGAUCAGCAGAGUUCGCCGUCCACGCCAUCCCUCUCGUGCUCCUGCUCUGCGCCAUCAUCCUCUGGUUCUUCUCCACACCUGAAUUAAGGGCUUGAAGAUUGCUGCAGCGUCAUGAUGGGAGUACAGAGAUCAAUUUGCUUGGGAAUUGGAGCCGAUGGAACUAAUUGAUCCAAACCAGACAGUUUUAGCCUCAAGUCACAAGCACCCGACAUGUGUUAGGAACCUGUUGAGAAUUAUUGUAGUGUAACGAUGAAACGAAUGAGAGAUGGAACGAAGGUUGUUGUAAUAAAAUGAUAGACGCCUGAAAGAUGUUUGUGAAAAGGACUCUUAAGAGUCAUAAGCUUGCAUUGAUAAAAAGGGAUAAGAG
Long non-coding RNA from Juglans microcarpa x Juglans regia, 687 nucleotides. RefSeq lists it as uncharacterized. The record is from RefSeq and is a predicted model, not a curated record. Lineage: Eukaryota; Viridiplantae; Streptophyta; Magnoliopsida; Fagales; Juglandaceae. The transcript has 2 exons.